Molecule: non-coding RNA, 234 nt
Organism: Microcebus murinus (gray mouse lemur)
Lineage: Eukaryota; Metazoa; Chordata; Mammalia; Primates; Cheirogaleidae
Source: RefSeq, a predicted model, not a curated record
AGAUAUUUGAAAGUAACACUUAUAAUGGAAUGACAGUUAUGCUCUACUGUGUGCCAGCCAUCAUUAAGGACCACAACCCGCACUACUCUCCAGUGUUAUAAGAGCUUCCAGAUGAGAACCUACCCUGAUCGACAUCUGAAUUUCAGCUUUGUGAUACCCUGAUUAUAGAGCACAUGAUGCCACUCUUCUAACCUAAAAAACUGUGAGCUAAUAAAUGAAUGGUAUUUUAAGCUG